Molecule: ribosomal RNA, 200 nt
Filed under: uncultured bacterium
Lineage: Bacteria
Description: partial 16S ribosomal RNA
Rfam family: Bacterial small subunit ribosomal RNA
Source: RNAcentral
AGAGUUUGAUCCUGGCUCAGAAUCAACGCUGGCGGCGUGCCUAACACAUGCAAGUCGCACGAGAAAGCGGGGGCAACCCCGUGAGUACAGUGGCGUACGGGUGAGUAACACGUGACUAACCUACCUUCGAGUGGGGAAUAACCUCGGGAAACCGGGGCUAAUACCGCAUAACACCGAGAGGUCAAAGCAGUAAUGCGCUU